UAAAUUUUGGGGUAUUACAGCUGCCCCUAUUCAAUCAACUAGAGACCUAGAAAGAAGAUAGCAGCGGCCUUCGUGCUUUCGAGGUAUCAAGGGAUUGAAUACAAUAAAAGCCCGAAAAUUUGCACUGAAGUGAAGUGAAGUAACAAUGUCUGUCAGAAUCGGCAAAGAGGUGGUCUUGAAAGAAGAAUUCGUCUGGUACGGUGAGAGUCAGUCUGAAUACCGAAAAAGAAUGUU
RNAcentral lists this long non-coding RNA (234 nucleotides) under Lathyrus oleraceus (garden pea). RNAcentral describes it as "Pisum sativum (pea) long non-coding RNA (PSAT_LNC010034)". Lineage: Eukaryota; Viridiplantae; Streptophyta; Magnoliopsida; Fabales; Fabaceae. The record is from RNAcentral.